Molecule: long non-coding RNA, 499 nt
Organism: Neopelma chrysocephalum (saffron-crested tyrant-manakin)
Lineage: Eukaryota; Metazoa; Chordata; Aves; Passeriformes; Pipridae
Exons: 4
Source: RefSeq, a predicted model, not a curated record
UCCUUCACUAAAGAUACAAGGUAUUGAGUGCCAGUUCUGUCCCCACUUUCAGUCCAUUGUAUGCCCAUACCCUGCCCACCAGUGUCAAAAAUGUGGUGGAAGGAGCUCUCAGUUGUUUGAUAGGAUUCUCACCCAAUAGCUGUAAUGAUCAAAUCUACAGCAACUCUGUGUUGAAAACAGAGGAACGGGGCUGAUGGAGAAGGUUUGGUUCUUCAAAGCCAAGAUAGCUGCAAACAGUUCACUGCCUAUGAGAGCAUGAGGUGUGGAACAUAAGGCUGCCACUAGUGUUGAACUGCUACAGCUGCAAAAAGCAAGAUUUGGGCACUUGGAAAACACAAAGCUGGAGUGGGAAGGCAAGGCUGGAAACAGACACCAUUAAUCAUCCCUCUGCCAAGAUCUUCUUCCCACACCAGGCUUUACUGUACAUUCCUUGCAUUUCCAUACCAUGAUGUCAGUCCACCAUGGAACAAAGAUAAGAAUGGCUCAAGAUUUUCCUUCA